RNAcentral lists this long non-coding RNA (3823 nucleotides) under Equus caballus (horse). RNAcentral describes it as "lncRNA (ENSECAG00000051215.1)". Lineage: Eukaryota; Metazoa; Chordata; Mammalia; Perissodactyla; Equidae. The record is from RNAcentral.
GAGUUUUCUAGUCUCCUCUUUCUGCCAGAGGAAUAAGGGUAGUAAGUCAAUGAACCAGAUUAUUUUGUAUUCCUCUGGAGAAAAAUCAUUAUUCACCUGGACUCUGUCAGAAGAAGCAGACCUCGGCUUGGCUAGAAUAUCACAAGCCAACAGCUUUUCUAAAAUAUUGCAUAUGUGACAUAACUGUAGAUAUCCUGGUUCUGAAUAAGAAAAAGGAAGGGGUAAACUGGGAAAGGGGACUAACACCUGAUUAACUCCCGCUAGAAGGCGAGCUCACUGAGGGCAGGUGGUUCGCCACUGAAUGCCCAGCACCUGCAGCCACGCCCCACCAUACCUGUGGGCCCGCCAACAAACGAGCAGCUGCUCUGCGCCGGGUCCUCUGCCACAUCAUCUCCUAACCCUUUCGCCAGUUAACCCACUUCAGGGAUGAGAAGACUAGAAGGGACCCAACUGUCGGCAGAGGGAGGCCCCUGUGGGUCAUGGUGGCCAGGAGUGUGGCCCCGUGGGGACUCCCAGCCAGUGUGCCACGUGAGAGGAGGAGCGUGGCUGAUGUUUCCUGCGUAUCACACCUCUGUCUAAAACCUAAUUGUCUAAACGGUUUGUCAGAAAAUCUUCGAUAAGAUGUCAUUUAUUUGGGGGCGGGGAGAAACCACCACUCUUAAAUGAGGUAGGAUAACCUCUCCUCUUCCCCACUGCCCCCUCCCCCAAGCCCCCCACCAACCCAUCUCACCAGUUACUCUGGUGCACAUGAGAAGCUCUCAAUUUAAUUGUGAGCAAGUGAUGAAUGGAUAUUCUGAAAUGUCAACUUAAAUUUUAAAAUGCAUUCAAAAUUAUGCAGGAAGCGCAAGAGCCUGGAAACUCCAGCCUCAGAAGCUUUGGUGAUUAGCUACAUGAUUAACCCAAGAGGGGAUCAAAACCACGGGUUGGAGAAGUAGGUAGAUGCUGCUGUCUUGGUUUUCCACAGUCUGGUUUAUAGGGUGUGGGGCUGGCAGUCAUCAUCAUCAUCGCCAUUAUCAGUUUUUAUUUUAUGGGGCCUCAUUGAAAGCACUGUGCUAGGUGCAACCAAGGACUUCACUUUCCAGUAGAUAUGGUCACUGUCUUUAAGGAGUGUCCCAUCUCCAUUUCCGGGGCAGAGGUAAGAUGGAAGUUUUUGAUGUGGUGAUAAGCCUGGAAAAUAGAUGUAGCCCUGAGAGUCCCAGGGAGGAGGAAGCCGCAGAGCGUUGACUUCCAACAUCGUUCCGCAGACAACCCGCGAGGCUCCAGCAGCUUGGCUGGCACAGCCUCAGGAAGAGGGGAGUGCUGCAGGGAAGUCAAAGACGAAUGAGGUCUGAGAAGUGACUGCUGGAUCCAGUGGCAGAAAAUGUCACUGAUGGACUUCCUCUAGCGAGACCUGGACGGGAACUGGAUGGCAAAAGGUCAACAGAUCAGAGGGGACCUGGAAUUGGAGAGAGGGGUUGGUCACAAAAGGAAUCCAAGAAGGAAGCGGUAGCUGAGGGAAGGAGCAGGGCCGAGGGAAGACGUUUUCAGUCGGCAAACUUUGAUAACGGCCGAAGUUAGUCGGUGGUUACAUGCGAGCUCAUUAUGUAAUUCUUUCUACAUGGCAGAUAUUUUUUAACACCCUGAAUAGAAAUUUAGGAAAAGAAAGAUGAGAGGUGAGCGUGUGAGAAAGGGGUAGGGAAAUUGGGUAAGGGGAGGAUACUGACUGCCUGUGGGGACUCCCAGUCAUUGGUGGAACGGUCUCAGAGGAGGCGCGUGGAAAUGGAAACAAGAACACAGGUGAGGGGGUUAACCUGCUGACGGGAAGGAAAAUGAAAGAGGGUGAAAAUCAGGAUAAACGUUGGGUUGAAGAGGAAGUGUAGCAUAAAAAUAUUACAAGGCUAAAAGGAAGACGGAUGAGGGUUCUUGGGCCUCCAUUUCCAGGAAGUGGGAGGAGAGGCAAAGGGAUGAAAAGGAGUGGGAGGACAGGGAGCCAGGCUCGAGGGAUGUGGAGAGGGAUGAAGAACGGUCCUGGGAGCGGUAGGGAAGGGGAGGGCGAGGGGAAGGCAGCCGCUGAGGAGAAGCCCUUCCUGUGGACAGGGGCAGGAAGUUUCAAGGGGCUCACACUUUGAGAACUGGUACUGCCUUAAGGCAUGCAGAAAACAGACAGCCAGGGUGAUGAGAGUCUCUCCCAAACCCGGAACACUCAGGAAUCCCCAAGUCGGCAGUGGCUGUCUCAAGAGCGGAAGUUCGCUGAAGCAAAUAGCAACUGUCUGAAACUCCCCACGAAGGGCAGAUCCAGUGGGAAGUCAGAGGGAGGGCAUCUAUUUGGCCCAAAAUAAAUAUACUAAUAAAUGCGUAUGACCUCCCUGUGUGACCCUAGGGCCAUGUGUGUGUCCACCCACGAGUUUCGCUCUCUUUGCUCAGUCCUUUUGCAACUCGGAAUCCGUCCUCACAGUCAGCGCGAGCGUCUCUGGGCAGAGGGAGGAUGUGAGCCCCCAUCUCCCAGCACUGCUGCUUCCUUUCAUCAGGACGGGCGGGGUGUGGGCUGGGGUCCAAACGCUGACUUGACACUUUCUAGCCGCCUGCUCUGGGGCAAGCUCCGCCCCUCUCUGAGCCUCAGCCUCUUGCCGCGUAGGAAAGAGGGAGUCACUGUACCCUCCUCAGAGGGACAUUGUCCAGAUAAAAUGAGUUAGUAACCAAAAGCAUUAAAGCCACACCUAGCACGUAACAAGCUAUAGUAAACAUUAGCUACUUAAUAUAAUUCUGUUAAAAUGUUAUUCUUGACAACGAACAAAGUUUCAAAGGAGCAUUACCCUCUCAGAGGAGCCUUCUCUGCCCGCUCUGGAAUCCCCCUGUUAGCAUAUACAGCUUCAUGGCUUCCUCUAUUCCGUGGCACAGACUAAUAACAAGGGGCAACAUAGUGAAGGGGUUAAAAUCACGGGUCCUUGGCAGCUGGCCCAGUGGCCAAAGUUAGUUGUGCACUCCGCUUCUGCAGCCCAGGGUUUGUGGUUGUUGAUCCCACACACAAGCCUACACACUGCUCAUCAAGCCAUUCUAUGGUGGCAUCCCAUUUACAAAAUAGAGGAAGAUUGCCACAGGUGGUAGCUCAGUGACAAUCUUCCUCACCAAAAAAAAAGCACUGAUCUUCUUUUUUUAGAACCAGGCUGCGUGGGAUCAAAUCUGAGUUCUUUCUACCAGUUGUGAGAUCUUGGGCAAGAUACUAAACCCCUCUGUGCCUCAGUUUCCUCAUCAGGAAAAUGCAGAUUAAUAGAACUUAAUUUAUACAGUUGUUAUGAGAAUUAAAAAAUAUUGCUUGGCAUUUAAUAAACAGUAGGUGUUUCCUAUUUUUGGUAUUAUUAAUAUCUAUCUUCCUUUUCUCAUAAGCUCUGUCCAUUUCUCAUGUGUCCAGUGCCUAGCCCAGUGCCUGGACUAUAAAGGCUCAAUAAAUAUGCUAAAAGAAUAAAUGCAUGGAAGCUAAAAUCGACCACAUAGAGGUUAAUUGACAUGAUAAAUGCUUCAAGCCAGUUGCUUUCAAUAAUAUUUUCCAGAUUUAGCUUGUUCUCCUUUUGUUUUUGUUAUUGUUUUCUAAUAUGUUUGUGAAUCUUUUCAAAGGAAAAAUGACUGGGGAAAAAUAAUUUUAAAAAAUAAUCGGGGAAACACUUGUGCAAAGGCAUAGACCAAAAGAACAAUAGAUAAUUUCAUAAAGUCAGAUUUAUAAAUGUGAAAAACAAAGGCAGUGUUAAAAUUUCUCUGCCUUUUAAAACCAUAACAUGAAGUUCUAAACCUAGUCUCUUUGGAACUCGUGAAUGUAUUUAAUUUUAAAAAGAACCUCACCAGUGAUGUU